RNAcentral lists this ribosomal RNA (436 nucleotides) under uncultured bacterium. RNAcentral's name for it is "bacterial SSU rRNA". It matches the Rfam family "Bacterial small subunit ribosomal RNA", at positions 343 to 795 of the family's 1533-position model. The record is from RNAcentral.
GGGAGGCAGCAGUAGGGAAUGUUGCACAAUGGGGGAAACCCUGAUGCAGCAACGCCGCGUGAGCGAUGAAGGCCUUCGGGUUGUAAAGCUCUGUCUUUGCUGACGAAUAAUGACGGUAAGCAAGGAGGAAGCCACGGCUAACUACGUGCCAGCAGCCGCGGUAAUACGUAGGUGGCAAGCGUUGUCCGGAAUUACUGGGCGUAAAGAAUGCGUAGGCGGCUUUUUAAGUGGGAUGUGAAAUCCCUGGGCUCAACCCAGGAACUGCAUUCCAAACUGGAAGGCUAGAGUGUGGGAGAGGAAAAUGGUAUUCCCAGUGUAGCGGUGAAAUGCGUAGAGAUUGGGAGGAACACCAGUAGCGAAGGCGAUUUUCUGGAACAUAACUGACGCUGAGGCAUGAAAGCGUGGGGAGCAAACAGGAUUAGAUACCCUAGUAGUC